This 247-nucleotide ribosomal RNA is filed under the name uncultured bacterium. RNAcentral describes it as "partial 16S ribosomal RNA". It matches the Rfam family "Bacterial small subunit ribosomal RNA", at positions 526 to 779 of the family's 1533-position model. The record is from RNAcentral.
CGGAGGAUCCGAGCGUUAUCCGGAUUAUUGGUUUAAAGGGUGCGUAGGCGGCCUAUUAAGUCAGGGUGAAUAACGGUGGCUCAACCAUCGCAGUGCCUUUGAUACUGAUGGGCUUGAAUCCAUUGAAGUGGCGAAUAAGACAAGUAGCGUGAAAUGCAUAGAUAUGUCUUAGAACUCCGAUUGCGAAGGCAGCUCAUUAAGCUGGUAUUGAACGCUGAUGCACGAAAGCGUGGGAUCGAACAGGAUU